CCUACGGGAGGCAGCAGUGAGGAAUAUUGGUCAAUGGACGAGAGUCUGAACCAGCCAAGUAGCGUGAAGGAUGACUGCCCUAUGGGUUGUAAACUUCUUUUAUAAAGGAAUAAAACGAGGCACGUGUGCCUUUUUGCAUGUACUUUAUGAAUAAGGAUCGGCUAACUCCGUGCCAGCAGCCGCGGUAAUACGGAGGAUCCGAGCGUUAUCCGGAUUUAUUGGGUUUAAAGGGAGCGUAGAUGGGUUGUUAAGUCAGUUGUGAAAGUUUGAGGCUCAACCGUAAAAUUGCAAUUGAUACUGGCAGUCUUGAGUACAGUUGAGGUAGGCGGAAUUCGUGGUGUAGCGGUGAAAGGCUUAGAUAUCACGAAGAACCCCGAUUGCGAAGGCAGCUUACUAAACUGUGACUGACAUUGAUGCUCGAAAGUGUGGGUAUCAAACAGGAUUAGAUACCCUUGUAGUC
RNAcentral lists this ribosomal RNA (460 nucleotides) under uncultured bacterium. RNAcentral's name for it is "partial 16S ribosomal RNA". It matches the Rfam family "Bacterial small subunit ribosomal RNA", at positions 338 to 795 of the family's 1533-position model. The record is from RNAcentral.